AAAUGAGAUAAUGUUGGCUCUCUUUGCAUCCUACAGGUCCAGGUUCUUUACAGGUCUCUGUUAAAGCACCAAGAGGAACAGACUAGGGUAGCUCUGUUGGAACAAAAGAUGCAGGCAUGCACUUUAGACUUUGAAAAUGAAAAACUUGAUCGUCAGAAUAUGCAGCACCAACUGCACGUGAUUCUUAAGGAACUCCGAAAAGCAAGAAGUCAGAUAACACAGUUGGAAUCCUUGAAGCAGCUUCAUGAGUUUGCCCUCACAGAGCAAACUCACCAGGGAGAGCCUGAAAACAGAGUAAAAGUCACCUCACCAAAAAGUCCCACUGCUGCACUGAAUGAAAGCCUGGUGGAGUGUCCCAAGUGCAGUGUACAGUAUCCAGCUGCUGAGCACCGAGAUCUGCUUGUCCAUGUUGAGUACUGCACGAAGUAGUGGAACCCAUCCUUGUGUUAUGCCAAAGGUUCCAUGCUGUUUCCUAGUUUGCUUGUGGGCACUCUGAAGCACAUACUCUGUCUCUUGCACAAGACACUGCCUGUCUGCUGCUGGCACUCUUGGCAUGCCAGGGGUCCUGUGUUUCUCUGGCUGCUUUGCAUUUUCUUUGGCAGUGAUACCUCCCCAAGAUGGCUUAUCGUCAGGCUGCAAAAUGUUGUGAGCACUAAGUACUAAGACUACUAGCACUUCACACUGUUAAGAUAGGAUGAAGACGGGCUGUUCAGGUUUUUGCUUAUGGCUUAAAUCUGUUGACCAGCAAGCAGUUGUUUUCUGGGGUUUAAGAAAUCAAAAGUAAUUACAUUAACCAGGGAGCUUACCAUGUUGAUGGUUUUUAUAUAGUGUUUAGCAUACUGACAGUUCCAGUUUUGAUAUCCAUUGUUAAAAAAUGGUAAUGUUUUCAUUUACCCUUUGCUAUUGUACAACGGUUAUUAGAAAAGUUGGGAAUUUUUGUAAUUGUUAUUGCCAUUUACUGUUGAAGCUUUAUAAACCCAGCUCUGUUCUAAGCACAAAGCAGAUUUUGUUUGAGGAAUACUUUUAAGUAGCUGCACAAUAUUUUCUCUCAUACUGUCUGAUUAUAACGUUAACUUAAAUUUCAUUGGCACAGGUUGGUUACCUAAAAUUGUUAAUAAUCUAUUUUAACAACAUUAGAUUUCUCGUUUGUAUUGCAGGUAUUUUCUUAUUCUUGUGUUUUGGCAUUCUUAAAGAUGGGCUGGCAAUGUAAUUAUCAGAUAUUUGUUUCUCUGAAUAGAUGUUUUUUUAUAUAUCCUUUAUGUAAGCCAAAAAUGUUUUCUUUCUUCAGAUUUUCAAACAUGCUUAAAUCUGUGCUAUUGGUAGCAAUAUAAAGGAGGAAAUAGUAAUAAGUUUUACUAUGUCAUGUGUGUGUGUGUGUGUGUGUGUGUGUAUGUGUGUGUGUGUGUGUGUGUGUGUGUAUUGAUAGUCUUAAGAUUUCUACUCCAAGUGGAGUGUUGAGGUUCUGGAUUAAUACAAGUUAGAAGAUGCCAGGCUAGUUAAGGAGACACCAGAGUCAGCCACUCUGAGGGAGGUAAUGGAGCCUUCCGGGUACCUCUGCUGAAGAGAUAAUAACUCUUGAGCUAUUGGAAUUUUUUGACCAUAAAAACUGUAGAGAUCUGUUUAUAUAAGUAAAAUUUUGCCUUAGGAGUUACUAAUCCCAUGUUCCUAAUACCUUCAACCACAGUUGGACAAAAGAUAAAGGAAUAUUUUUUAGCCAGGCAUGGCAGUGCACUCCUUUAAUCCUAGCAGAGACAGGUAGAUUGAGGUCUACUUAGUGAGUUCCAGGCCUACUGGGGCUACCAGGAGA
Molecule: RNA transcript, 1807 nt
Organism: Nannospalax galili (Upper Galilee mountains blind mole rat)
Lineage: Eukaryota; Metazoa; Chordata; Mammalia; Rodentia; Spalacidae
Exons: 3
Source: RefSeq, a predicted model, not a curated record